AACGAACGCUGGCGGCAUGCCUAACACAUGCAAGUCGAACGAGACCUUCGGGUCUAGUGGCGCACGGGUGCGUAACGCGUGGGAACCUGCCUUUAGGUUCGGAAUAACUCAGAGAAAUUUGAGCUAACACCGGAUGAUUUCUUCGAACAAAAGAUUGAUCGCCUUUAGAUGGGCCCGCGUUGGAUUAGCCAGUUGGUAGGGUAAGGGCCUACCAAGGCGUCGAUCCAUAGCUGGUCUGAGAGGAUGGUCAGCGACACUGGGACUCGGACACGGCCGAGACUCCUGCGGGAGGCAGCAGUGGGGAAUAUUGGACUAUGGGCGAAAGCCUGAUCCAGCACUGCCGCGUGAGUGAUGAAGGCGUUAGGGUUGUAAAGCUCUUUUACCCGAGAUGAUAAUGACAGUAUCGGGAGAAUAAGCACCGGCUAACUCCGUG
This 433-nucleotide ribosomal RNA is filed under the name uncultured bacterium. RNAcentral's name for it is "partial 16S ribosomal RNA". It matches the Rfam family "Bacterial small subunit ribosomal RNA", at positions 29 to 507 of the family's 1533-position model. The record is from RNAcentral.